RNAcentral lists this ribosomal RNA (316 nucleotides) under uncultured bacterium. RNAcentral's name for it is "bacterial SSU rRNA". It matches the Rfam family "Bacterial small subunit ribosomal RNA", at positions 28 to 342 of the family's 1533-position model. The record is from RNAcentral.
GACGAACGCUGGCGGCGUGCCUAACACAUGCAAGUCAACUUGACUGAAGGAGCAAUCUGACAGUAGAGUGGCGCAAGGGUGCGUAACGCGUAAGUAACUUGCCCAAGGUAAGGAAUAAACGUCGAGAAAUCGGCGCCCUAAUACCUCAUAAUGCAGCGGAUCCGCAUGGAUAUGUUGUUAAAGGUUUACCGCCUUGGAUAGGCUUGCGUCUGAUUAGCUAGUUGGUGUGGUAACGGCACACCAAGGCUACGAUCAGUAACUAGGUCUGAGAGGAUGAUCAGUCAUACUGGAACUGAGACACGGUCCAGACUCCUAC